RNAcentral lists this ribosomal RNA (253 nucleotides) under uncultured bacterium. Its description in RNAcentral is "partial 16S ribosomal RNA". It matches the Rfam family "Bacterial small subunit ribosomal RNA", at positions 524 to 776 of the family's 1533-position model. The record is from RNAcentral.
AACGUAGGAGACGAGCGUUAUCCGGAUUUACUGGGCGUAAAGCGUGUGCAGGCGGUUCGGCAAGUUGGAUGUGAAAUCUCCCGGCUCAACUGGGAGGGGUCGUUCAAUACUACCGAACUUGAGGUCAUCAGAGGAAGGUGGAAUUCCGGGUGUAGUGGUGAAAUGCGUAGAUAUCCGGAGGGACACCAGUGGCGAAGGCGGCCUUCUGGGAUGAUCCUGACGCUCAGACACGAAAGCUAGGGGAGCGAACGGG